GCCCUCGCCCUCCUCACCCUCUCACCCAACCCACAGGCCACAGCCCCACACUCCUCCCUCGCCUGGUCGUCCCCCAUCUCUUUCCCGCACGACUCUCCUCGUCGCCGCCACCAACGGCGCUCGAUCCAGGCGACCUACCGGUGGGAAUCGACGGUGCCAAGAAAACCGAAGGGAUCCCCUCGCUCCGCUACUCCCUCCUAUCAGGGGAGAUCCAGCAUGCGCGUCCUCCAACGCUACCCGCGACUUUCUCUUGUUGCUAGGGUUUCGGCCGGCGUGGCUCCGGCGACUCAGGACGCCAUCCUUGCUGAAGCAUCAGGACGCCAUGGACGGGAAGGCAUCUCCCCCCCUGCCCCGAAGUCAUGGAGACGCCGCCGGCUUCGAGGGUGGAGCCCGGAGCAUCCACUGGAGCGCAAAACAGACGUGCAGGAGGUGGAGAUCCGCAUGGAUCACGACGCGGUCGUCGUAGUGGCCUGGAUCAUUGAGCUCGAGGAUGGACGGCCUCAGUGGCAGAGGCGCACAUGAGUUCCUGCGAUGGACCGAUCCACAGGGGCGCUGGAUCUGGCCUCGCGGUCGCCUGAUCUAGCCACUCUGUCGCCAGAUCUCCUCCCUUCUCAGUUUCUCUCUGGCACUUCCUUUCUUUCUAUCUACAAGAAGCCUCAUAGGAGCUUGCACGGAACUGAUGGGAAGUGGUGCCCAGAUCGUAUUCAAUUUGUGGAUACAAUUCACCAAAUAUGGACGUACUUCUGUAUACCAAUAUUUUAUCUCCUUUUUGCAGAUCCUUAGUUAUGUCAUCAAAUUUCCAAUACAUGCAUCUCCCAGAAAGGAAUUUCCUGACCCGUGCAGAUUAUUGUUUUAUGAGUUUUACUACAAUGUAACUUAUGUAUUUGGCUAUGUUCAGUUAUUAGGAAACUUCUAGGAUCUGCACAUUAAUUAACAGAAACAUGUACAGAUAAUGAAGAUAAACUUUUAGAUCAGUGCUACUUAUUCUAAGUCUAAAGGAUUUCCAGUUAACUUAGUAUUUUUAACAAAUGUGGUUCAUCAGCAAGCUAUAUUAAAUAACAAUCCAGAUUUAUAUACAUAACUAUUAUACAGUGCCAAGACUUCCAUUGUGUGUAUGAAUGUGCACAUAUCCAGAUUUUUCUGAAUAUCAGUAUACAUAUAUUUUUUAUAGAUGUUUAAAACAUGGAAUUGCUGCCACAUGUGUUUGAUACAAUAUAUGUAGUAUAUGUCAUACCUGAUGCAGUAUAAUACAAAUAAAUAUAUAGGUAAUAUAUGCACUUUAUAGAAAAUAAAUAUAUGUUAUAUACUACUACCGAAUGAUUUUAUCCAAAUGUUGUUGGUUCAUGCAUACCUAAAUGUCAUGUUUUCUUACGCCACCCAUCUUAUUUGAGUUAUUACAUUUACAUUAUUGGAUUUUGGAGAAAAUUUGUUGCAUCAAAAUGCUUAGCUUACUCCCAGUCUCUCCUCACAACGAGGUUGAAGUAUUAGGUAAUACUAUUGUUUAGCACAUAACUUAUUACUUUCAUGUAAAUCCAAACUAUUAUAGUUACUGAAAUUAAUUUGACAUUUAUUUAAGCCAUUUAACAAAGCGGAGCUCCAUUUGCUAGGGUUCGUCGGUCAUGAGAUGAGGUAAACUAACUUGUAAGGCGUUCACAAAAGCUUGUACAGAAUUAUGUGUAGUGGUUGGGUUCGAAUAUAUAGGUUGAGAUUUUUUUUUCUUGCAGAAUGAUGAUAUCGUCGGUCAUGGGUUUUUUUUUUCUAUCUCUCCCUUCUUCACAUAGCUGCAGCCUGCAGCACGUCCACAACACAUGUUUUGUCCCAUGCACGUAUCAUACGUUGUUAGCCUUUGGACUAGAUGUUCAUGUUCUAGUACCCCCUCCGUUCCUAAAUAUUGUCUUUUUAGAUGUUCACGUUCUAGUACUCCCUCUGUUUAUAUUUCUUGAUGUCAUUUCUAGUAUGCAAUCAUAUGACAUGUUUCAUGUAAAUUAAUAUGGGAUGCUAUCAAUUUUUUAAUCUGCAAUUGAUCUAGUGUUUUUUACAUGGUAGCUUAAUAUCUUCAUUCCUUUUCUAAUAUGCAAACUUCUAAUAUGUGAGGUGCAGAAGUGCAUGAGCUUCGGUUCGCCUUAGGCUCCUCCCGCUCGUCGGCGGUCUGGUCCAGCGUCACUUAACCGCUGUGACCUGGUCGGUUUGGUUCAGCUUUGAGCUGCCCACUGCAGAGUGGGAGGACGGCAUGCUCAUGAACAUCGAGGCUGGAUCAAGUAUUGUGGUGCACCGCGGCAUGCGGCGAUCUAUUUUUUUGUAGUGGUACUGUAUAUGGUCUCAUCCAACACUGAGUAUCCAUUUGUUGUUUUAAUACUGAUGAUGAUAUUGUAGCAUAAAGUAGACACCAUAUCUGGUUUGUCUUGAUGUUUUAACUAUGGUGGUUCUUGUCUGAUGCACAUUGUUCUUUGCAGGGUUAUGAUGAUAUUUCCAAAGAUAUAUAUUGACCCUGAUGUGGCAAAGCACAUUCCUUAGAAAUGUCGGCCUUGAGUCAACUCUAAGAAGAAAUUCAACAGAUCUGCAACUGCUUUGGAUGCUCAUGUACAAGAUACUAAAUUAUUGUUUCUGUUAUUUUGGUUGGUACUAUCUUAUAAACAUGUGGUGUAAUGAUAUUGGUGGGACAAAGUUCAUGAAAAACUGUGUUGUUUGUUCAUUCUGCUAUAUUAUUUUGAGAUCAUGUGGUGUAAUGAUAUGGUUGUGUUAUUUUAAGAAUUAUAUUAUUAUCAUUA
Molecule: long non-coding RNA, 2768 nt
Organism: Hordeum vulgare subsp. vulgare (domesticated barley)
Lineage: Eukaryota; Viridiplantae; Streptophyta; Magnoliopsida; Poales; Poaceae
Exons: 4
Source: RefSeq, a predicted model, not a curated record